This 507-nucleotide ribosomal RNA is filed under the name uncultured bacterium. RNAcentral's name for it is "partial 16S ribosomal RNA". It matches the Rfam family "Bacterial small subunit ribosomal RNA", at positions 28 to 507 of the family's 1533-position model. The record is from RNAcentral.
GACGAACGCUGGCGGCGUGCCUAAUACAUGCAAGUCGAACGCAUUUUCUUUCACCGUAGCUUGCUACACCGAAAGAAAAUGAGUGGCGAACGGGUGAGUAACACGUGGGUAACCUGCCCAUCAGCGGGGGAUAACACUUGGAAACAGGUGCUAAUACCGCAUAAUUCCACUUACCGCAUGGUAAAUGGAUGAAAGGCGCUUUUGCGUCACUGAUGGAUGGACCCGCGGUGCAUUAGCUAGUUGGUGGGGUAACGGCCUACCAAGGCUGCGAUGCAUAGCCGACCUGAGAGGGUGAUCGGCCACACUGGGACUGAGACACGGCCCAGACUCCUACGGGAGGCAGCAGUAGGGAAUCUUCGGCAAUGGACGCAAGUCUGACCGAGCAACGCCGCGUGAUUGAAGAAGGUUUUCGGAUCGUAAAACUCUGUUGUUAGAGAAGAACAAGGAUGAGAGUGGAAAGUUCAUCCCUUGACGGUAUCUAACCAGAAAGCCACGGCUAACUACGUG